RNAcentral lists this long non-coding RNA (574 nucleotides) under Gossypium barbadense (sea-island cotton). RNAcentral's name for it is "long non-coding RNA (GBAR_LNC020736)". Lineage: Eukaryota; Viridiplantae; Streptophyta; Magnoliopsida; Malvales; Malvaceae. The record is from RNAcentral.
GAGUAUGCCAGAGACGGACUGUACUUGGCUGACUGCGGGUUGUAACUUGGAGAGGUAGGGCUAUAGCUUGGUGAUGUGGGACUGUAACUUGGUGAGGUUGGACUGUACCCAGGAGAAGUGGGGCUAUAAGCGGGUGAAGUGGGGCUAUAGGAAGGAGAUGUGGGGCUAUAGGAAGGAGAUGUGGGGCUGUACGAAGGAGAUGUAGGGCUGUAUGAUGGAGAUGUCGGGCUGUAUGAUGGAGAAGUGGGGCUAUAUGCAGGAGAAGUGGGGCUAUAUGCAGGUGAAGUGGGGCUAUAUACGGGUGAAGUGGGGCUGUAGCUAGGUGAAGUGGGACUGUAACUGGGGGAUGUGGGACUGUAACUUGGAGAUGUAGGGCUGUAACUUGGAGAGGUAGGGCUAUAGCUUGGUGAGGUUGGAGAAUAUGAGGGGCUGGUAGGAGAGUAGGCUGGACUUGUCGGACUGUAUCCUGGUGAGCUAGGACUGUAAGUAGGUGAUGUGGGGCUGUAACCAGGAGAGGUGGGACUGUACCCAGGAGAUGUAGGACUGUAACCAGGAGAGGUAGGACUGUAACCAG